This 385-nucleotide ribosomal RNA is filed under the name uncultured bacterium. Its description in RNAcentral is "bacterial SSU rRNA". It matches the Rfam family "Bacterial small subunit ribosomal RNA", at positions 29 to 414 of the family's 1533-position model. The record is from RNAcentral.
AUUGAACGCUGGCGGCAUGCCUUACACAUGCAAGUCGAACGGCAGCACGGGAGCAAUCCUGGUGGCGAGUGGCGAACGGGUGAGUAAUAUAUCGGAACGUGCCCGGUCGUGGGGGAUAACGUAGCGAAAGCUACGCUAAUACCGCAUACGAUCUACGGAUGAAAGCGGGGGAUCGCAAGACCUCGCGCGAUUGGAGCGGCCGAUAUCAGAUUAGGUAGUUGGUGAGGUAAAGGCUCACCAAGCCGACGAUCUGUAGCUGGUCUGAGAGGACGACCAGCCACACUGGGACUGAGACACGGCCCAGACUCCUACGGGAGGCAGCAGUGGGGAAUUUUGGACAAAUGGGCGCAAGCCUGAUCCAGCAAUGCCGCGUGCAGGAUGAAGG